UACGUAGGUGGCAAGCGUUGUCCGGAAUUAUUGGGCGUAAAGGGCGCGUAGGCGGUCUUGUAAGUCAGCUGUGAAAGCCCGGGGCUCAACCCCGGAGGGUCGGCUGAUACUGUGCGACUAGAGUGCAGAAGGGGCAACUGGAAUUCUCGGUGUAGCGGUGAAAUGCGUAGAUAUCGAGAGGAACACCUGCGGCGAAGGCGGGUUGCUGGGCUGACACUGACGCUGAGGCGCGAAAGCCAGGGGAGCGAACGGG
RNAcentral lists this ribosomal RNA (253 nucleotides) under uncultured bacterium. RNAcentral's name for it is "partial 16S ribosomal RNA". It matches the Rfam family "Bacterial small subunit ribosomal RNA", at positions 524 to 776 of the family's 1533-position model. The record is from RNAcentral.